GAUGAACGCUGGCGGCGUGCUUAAUACAUGCAAGUCGAACGGAGACUGUAGCAAUACUGUCUUAGUGGCGAACGGGUGAGUAACGCGUUGGUGACCUGCCCCGAAGAGAGGGAUAACAGUCCGAAAGGAUUGCUAAUACCCCAUGUGGUCGUUUGGAUUAGAUGCCUUAUGACUAAACGGAUUUAUUCGCUUCGGGAGGGGCCUGCGUCCCAUCAGCUAGUUGGUGAGGUAAUAGCUUACCAAGGCGAUGACGGGUAGGGGACCUGAGAGGGUGGCCCCCCACAAUGGAACUGAAACACGGUCCAUACACCUACGGGUGGCAGCAGUAGGGAAUAUUGGUAAUCUGGGAAACCGGGAACCAGCAACGCCGCGUGCGCGAUGACGGCCUUCGGGUUGUAAAGCGCUUUUUAAAGGGAUGAGGAAGGACAGUACCUUUAGAAUAAGCCUCGGCUAACUACGUG
This 461-nucleotide ribosomal RNA is filed under the name uncultured bacterium. RNAcentral's name for it is "bacterial SSU rRNA". It matches the Rfam family "Bacterial small subunit ribosomal RNA", at positions 28 to 507 of the family's 1533-position model. The record is from RNAcentral.